AACCCAUGGCGAGGGCACCUUCUCAAUAGAUCCUUGUAUCUCUCCUAUGCAUCAUAAAGAGUUUCUAGAUCCAUCUGUACAAAAGAAGACCUACUCUUAUUGAAAGGGA
Molecule: non-coding RNA, 109 nt
Organism: Gossypium hirsutum (cotton)
Lineage: Eukaryota; Viridiplantae; Streptophyta; Magnoliopsida; Malvales; Malvaceae
Source: Rfam